This 195-nucleotide ribosomal RNA is filed under the name uncultured Bacillus sp. Its description in RNAcentral is "partial 16S ribosomal RNA". It matches the Rfam family "Bacterial small subunit ribosomal RNA", at positions 338 to 524 of the family's 1533-position model. The record is from RNAcentral. Lineage: Bacteria; Bacillati; Bacillota; Bacilli; Caryophanales; Bacillaceae.
CCUACGGGAGGCAGCAGUAGGGAAUCUUCCGCAAUGGACGAAAGUCUGACGGAGCAACGCCGCGUGAGUGAUGAAGGCUUUCGGGUCGUAAAACUCUGUUGUUAGGGAAGAACAAGUGCUAGUUGAAUAAGUUGGCACCUUGACGGUACCUAACCAGAAAGCCACGGCUAACUACGUGCCAGCAGCCGCGGUAAU